Molecule: ribosomal RNA, 274 nt
Filed under: uncultured bacterium
Lineage: Bacteria
Description: partial 16S ribosomal RNA
Rfam family: Archaeal small subunit ribosomal RNA
Source: RNAcentral
AAACCAGCACCUCAAGUGGUCAGGAGGAUUAUUGGGCCUAAAGCAUCCGUAGCCUGCUUUGUAAGUUUUCGGUUAAAUCCAUAUGCUCAACAUAUGGGCUGCCGGGAAUACUGCACAGCUAGGGAGUGGGAGAGGUAGACGGUACUCGGUAGGUAGGGGUAAAAUCCUUUGAUCUAUUGAUGACCACCUGUGGCGAAGGCGGUCUACCAGAACACGUCCGACGGUGAGGGAUGAAAGCUGGGGGAGCAAACCGGAUUAGAAACCCCAGUAGUCC